AUUCAUGAACAGUAUUUUUACAUUAACCUUUUAAUUUUUAUCUUCAUAAUAUAUCAAAAUAUUCUGGAUUUCUUUCCAUGUCAGUAUUUUUAGAGACUAUUUAUUUUUCUGUGUCCUCACCAACAUGAAGGAUCAUCAGAUGUUUUACAUUUGUUGUGAUUCCUUUCAAACCAAAUAAAGUGCCUCCCGAGAGACUCUGGGGAAUUCCUACACCUGCAUGCUCUGCUCAACUGCUACGGUUUCCCAGUGGUUCCCUUUGGCAUCUCACAUUGCUUUGAGCUGAAGACUUCUCUCAUGGCCUCCUCUAGCACCCCCAGGGAUCACUGAGCAAGGCUAUGGUAUAAUAAGCCCGAGUGAAAGUUGUAGGCUCACGUGAGUCUGUUCAGUGUGGAAAAUGGAAGCUGCUGGCUGCAAUGCAUGUGAACAUCACACACUGCCUCUCAAGUUGGCUCUGGUGGCCACUCUUCAUGUUUCCAAGGUCAGCUCACAGCAGAGCCAAGCCUCUCUUCCUUCCUUGCUCUUCUCCUUACUGAAUCUCCACACCAUGGCCCCAGGUCUGCCUUUUAAGCAGACAGGGGACACCCAGGACCUCUCAGCACAACAACUGUAUAUCUCUAUCCACAGAAGGUAACUUUUCACCCAGACAAAUUUUAACUCUCUUCUGUCCAAACCAUUCCC
Long non-coding RNA from Fukomys damarensis (Damara mole-rat), 678 nucleotides. RefSeq lists it as uncharacterized. Lineage: Eukaryota; Metazoa; Chordata; Mammalia; Rodentia; Bathyergidae. The transcript is spliced from 3 exons. The record is from RefSeq and is a predicted model, not a curated record.